Anas platyrhynchos (mallard) is the source of this 468-nucleotide non-coding RNA. The record is from RefSeq and is a predicted model, not a curated record. Lineage: Eukaryota; Metazoa; Chordata; Aves; Anseriformes; Anatidae.
GUUCGGGGUCAGCACGGGGUAACUGACACCAGGCAACUUCUUGAUCCCCUGCAUGACUUCAGUGUGGUCGGCCAUCUGCAAAGGGAACGCCGACAGAUCUCUAAGGGUGUCAACACGCUCGUCAGCCACUUGCACAGAGUCACGAUUUGUUCACGUGUGACUGCACAGUGACAGCGUUCAAAGCACACAGGUGCACGGCCACAGAGCAACGACACGAGUGCCAGCGCCGGUACCAAGCAUGGCAAAGCUGCUGCUGCCCUGCUGAAACCACCCCGCGCGGAGCCACCACCACCAGCCAGCGCUGAGCGCUCAGCCCAGGAGCUCAGAGCCAGACUCAGAUUUGGGAGGCAAGCCUCUGGCAUAGCCAACGUGAACGUGUCCUAAAACCAGCUCUAAAGAGUCAGUCUGCAACCCGCUGUUUAAACACUUACCUUCCUUGUUCUUGUUAAGAAAGCAUUCAUCCAAAAA